RNAcentral lists this ribosomal RNA (665 nucleotides) under uncultured organism. Its description in RNAcentral is "bacterial SSU rRNA". It matches the Rfam family "Bacterial small subunit ribosomal RNA", at positions 94 to 790 of the family's 1533-position model. The record is from RNAcentral.
AGCGGCAGACGGGUGAGUAACACGUAGGUACCUACCCCAGAGACAGGGAUACCCUAGGAAACGAGGGCUAAUACCGGAUGACCUCCGGAAGGAGGAAAGGCUCAGGCGCUCUGGGAGGGGCUUGCGGCCCAUCAGCUAGUUGGUAGGGUAAAGGCCUACCAAGGCGAAGACGGGUAGGGGGUGUGAGAGCACGGNCCCCCACAAUGGGACUGAAACACGGCCCAUACUCCUACGGGAGGCAGCAGCAGGGAAUAUUGCACAAUAGGCGAAAGCCUGAUGCAGCGACGCCGCGUGAGUGAAGAAGGCCUUCGGGUCGUAAAGCUCUUUUGUAGGGGAAGAGGAAGGACGGUACCCUAAGAAGAAGCGUCGGCUAGCUACGUGCCAGCAGCCGCGGUAAGACGUAGGACGCGAGCGUUAUCCGGAAUUACUGGGCGUAAAGGGCCAGCAGGCGGCUUGGUAAGUUGUGCGUGAAAGCCUCGUGCUCAACGCGAGGGAGCCGGACAAUACUGUCAAGCUAGAGGGCAUCAGAGGGGAGUGGAAUUCCCGGAGUAGCGGUAAAAUGCGCAGAUAUCGGGAGGAACACCGAUGGCGAAGGCAGCUCCCUGGGAUGCACCUGACGCUAAGAGGCGAAAGCUAGGGGAAGCGAACAGGAUUAGAGACCCUGG